Molecule: long non-coding RNA, 1523 nt
Filed under: Anas platyrhynchos platyrhynchos (common mallard)
Lineage: Eukaryota; Metazoa; Chordata; Aves; Anseriformes; Anatidae
Description: lncRNA (ENSAPLG00000020438.1)
Source: RNAcentral
CAGUGAACUCAUGAACUCCUAACCUUCCGAGAGACUGCAAGCUGAGAGGGAUUUUAAUCUAUUUCAAACCUUGUUAAGGACUGAAUUUAGCAGGAGAUAACAAACAAACUUGGGAGGAGAGAACUUAAGAGCUGCAGGAAUUCCAACUUGUUCCCUCAAGAGCUGAGAAGCCUAAGUAUCCAGAAAAGCUUUAUAAAUGGCUACAAACACUGGGGGGAAUAACAAUCACCUGGAACACACAAACAUUGAAAUUAAACCAUGAACGUCAGAGUGGGAGAUGGGGUGCCUUCGUCUUUCCUUUCCUGGUGCCAGAGGACAGACUGUACGUCUUGCCCAGAGGUCUGGGGGAGGACCUCCCUUCCUACUGAGUCCUCGGCAGAGUCCUCUGCACCAUGAGGUUUGGCUCUGUGCCCCUCUUGCUGGAAAACUGCCCUCAGUGCAAGAAAAUCCCAAGGCAUCAUCAGCCAGUGCCCUCCACAUCAUUGGAGCUGCAUCCUGUGAGCCCUCUCCUGCCAUUGGGGCGAUGUCUGCUGGAUGCUUCACGGGUUUGGUCCAAGCAAACUCCUGCUCUGUGGUGCAUGGUGACAGGCCAGCACUGCUCCAUAAUGGGAGGAGGAAUGUGAGAAGGUCAUUUAGUACUCCACUUCUCAAGUUUCUCAUCAAAACUUCUCAUUUCCCAUGGCUGACCCUUCUCUGGAAAUUUACUUCUGCCCAUGGUGACACAAUCCUUUCAGCUCCUUCAGCAGCGCUGGAAAACACAGGGAUCUUGCGAGAGAGACUGUAGAAAACUGCAGAAUCAGUAUCUGCAAAGUUUUUUGGAGCCAGCACCCCAACAUGGAGUGGUGUGCUCCUCCAUCACUCUAACCACCCAUGUCCUCCCAUCCCCAAAGUGAAGUAUGGGCUGAAUUACAAAAGUACAGCAUUUCAUUGACCAAGACAAACAUAUACACCUCAACUUGCCUGUUUUAGAGAAUACCUUUUCAGACAUAACUUUGAUAUUACCUUUAUUUUUUUAUCAGUGAUCGGUAAAUUUUGAAGACAUUAAGAACGUGAGAUUCUCUGUGCUUGUAGAAACCCAUUUAAAGCUUCUUCUUUAUUAAUGGCUUUGGAAAUUCCUUACCAAUACUUACUGUAAGUUAAAGGUAAAGCAUGGAUAAUAUUUCAGCCAUCAGGAAAAAAGGUUUUCAGAAUUGCUGGUCAGACUGUAGCAUCCUGGGGCAAAAUGGAACCACAUGGAGUACUGAAUCAGGACUGCUGUCUUCAGAGGUGAUCUUCAGAAGAUGAAUUUCUACACCAGAUGUUCUCCCAUACCAUGGUGCAUAAAAAACACCGUAACGAAGUGAAGAUCCAGCAGUAAAAGACCAAAAGACAAAACUGCAGGGUGAUUUUGGAAGAAAACAGGAGCAAUCUGGACCAUCAAGUGCAACUGCUCUGAAGACCUCACUCAUUUUUUCCACAGAAAUCAAAAGUACAUGAGUCUAUGGCAGGGAAUAAAAGAAAUGUUCAGUAAUAACUGGGACUCA